This 332-nucleotide ribosomal RNA is filed under the name uncultured eukaryote. RNAcentral describes it as "partial 18S ribosomal RNA". It matches the Rfam family "Eukaryotic small subunit ribosomal RNA", at positions 1470 to 1796 of the family's 1831-position model. The record is from RNAcentral.
CCCUUAGAUGUUCUGGGCUGCACACGUGCUACACUGGCAGGUUCAGCGAGCUUCAUGCCCUGAUCUGAAAGGAAUGGGAAAUCUUUUCAAAACCUGCCGUGCUUGGGAUAGAUGUUUGCAAUUAUUCAUCUUCAACGAGGAUUGCCUUGUAAGCGCACGUCAUCAGCGCGCAUUGAAUACGACCCUGUAUUCUGUACACACCGCCCGUCGCUCCUACCGAUUGAAGUUUUCGGUGAGUUGACAGGAGGAUUUUUUUGAAACUGGUUCGCCAGUGGAUUUUAGAUCCAAAUGCCAACGAAUCGAUGGCUUUAGAGGAAGGAGAAGUCGUAACA